UACAGAGUGAGUUCCAGGACAGCCAGAGAAACCCUGUCUCGAAAAACCAAAACCAACCAAACAAACAAACAAAAAAACACUGGCUGUUGGGAAGCCAAACUCCAAAUUUAAAACGGGAUUGAGUGUGGUUUGGGUCCGCAUUCAGCAAGGUAUGUACUGGACUCCUCAGCAGAGCUCAGCUUCUGAGUGUGACUGGGUGUGGUGAACAUUGACUGUGGCUGUGAUGCGGCCUCCCACCUCCAUGCUGUCCUUUCUGGGCAGGCGGAGGACACUGAAGGCCAUGCGUGAUAUGCUCUGCAGGGAAAUGAGUAGCUCUCUCUCUUUACAGCUUUGAACCUUGGCUUCGUACCUAAACGGCUCCUCGGACACUAAUGAGCGAUCCAACCUUUUAUUCUUUUUAAUCCAGGAGAAUAAAUUUAACACCAUUG
RNAcentral lists this long non-coding RNA (428 nucleotides) under Mus musculus (house mouse). RNAcentral's name for it is "long non-coding RNA chr16:93904599-93905027". The record is from RNAcentral. Lineage: Eukaryota; Metazoa; Chordata; Mammalia; Rodentia; Muridae.